CUUGGUGGCUAUAGCGGAGGUCCCAGCACCCGAUCCCAUUCCGAACUCGGCCGUGAAAACCUCCAGCGCCGAUGGUACUCCGGCUUAAGCCGCGGGAGAGUAGGUCGCCGCCAAGU
This 116-nucleotide ribosomal RNA is filed under the name Marivibrio halodurans. The record is from RNAcentral. Lineage: Bacteria; Pseudomonadati; Pseudomonadota; Alphaproteobacteria; Rhodospirillales; Aestuariispiraceae.